Molecule: ribosomal RNA, 518 nt
Filed under: Leptodactylus natalensis
Lineage: Eukaryota; Metazoa; Chordata; Amphibia; Anura; Leptodactylidae
Description: partial 16S ribosomal RNA
Rfam family: Bacterial large subunit ribosomal RNA
Source: RNAcentral
GUUCACGGCCGCGGUAUCCUAACCGUGCGAAGGUAGCGUAAUCACUCGUUCUUUAAAUGAGGACUAGUAUGAACGGCAUCACGAGGGUUAUACUGUCUCCUCCCUUUAAUCAGUGAAACUGAUCUUCCCGUGAAGAAGCGGGAAUAAAUCUAUAAGACGAGAAGACCCUAUGGAGCUUUAAACACACUACAAUUGCCUCACUCUAUAUUAAUCUCUGGAAAACCACUUAUCCGGGCAUUUUGAUAGCAAGUUUUAGGUUGGGGUGACCGCGGAGCAAAAAACAACCUCCACAGCGAACAGGACUUUCCCUUAAGCUCAGGAUUACAACCCUAAGAAUCAAUAAAUUGACACCCAUUGACCCAAUUUCUUGACCAACGGACCAAGUUACCCUAGGGAUAACAGCGCAAUCUACUUCAAGAGCUCCUAUCGACAAGUGGGUUUACGACCUCGAUGUUGGAUCAGGGUAUCCCAGUGGUGCAGCCGCUGCUAACGGUUCGUUUGUUCAACGAUUAAAACCC